This 335-nucleotide unclassified non-coding RNA is filed under the name soil metagenome. RNAcentral's name for it is "partial contains 5.8S ribosomal RNA, internal transcribed spacer 2, and large subunit ribosomal RNA". The stretch from base 1 to 120 matches the Rfam family "5.8S ribosomal RNA", at positions 35 to 154 of the family's 154-position model. The record is from RNAcentral.
GAUGAAGAACGUAGUGAAAUGCGAUAAGUAAUGUGAAUUGCAGAAUUCCGUGAAUCAUCGAAUCUUUGAACGCACAUUGCGCCCCCUGGUAUUCCGGGGGGCAUGCCUGUCCGAGCGUCAUUGCAACCCUCAAGCGCGGCUUGCGUGUUGGGCGCCGUCCCCCGUGGACGCGCCCGAAAGGCAGUGGCGGUACCGUGCUCCGGUGCCCGAGCGUAUGGGCUUAAAACCCGCUCUUGUGGCCCGGCCGGCGCUGGCCUCGACCCCCAACUUUACAAGGUUGACCUCGGAUCAGGUAGGGAUACCCGCUGAACUUAAGCAUAUCAAUAAGCGGAGGA